Molecule: ribosomal RNA, 433 nt
Filed under: uncultured bacterium
Lineage: Bacteria
Description: partial 16S ribosomal RNA
Rfam family: Bacterial small subunit ribosomal RNA
Source: RNAcentral
AACGAACGCUGGCGGCAUGCCUAACACAUGCAAGUCGAACGAGACCUUCGGGGCUAGUGGCGCACGGGUGCGUAACGCGUGGGAAUCUGCCCUUGGGUUCGGAAUAACAGUGAGAAAUUACUGCUAAUACCGGAUGAUGUCUUCGGACCAAAGAUUUAUCGCCCUUGGAUGAGCCCGCGUAGGAUUAGCUAGUUGGUGGGGUAAUGGCCUACCAAGGCGACGAUCCUUAGCUGGUCUGAGAGGAUGAUCAGCCACACUGGGACUGAGACACGGCCCAGACUCCUACGGGAGGCAGCAGUGGGGAAUAUUGCGCAAUGGGCGAAAGCCUGACGCAGCAAUGCCGCGUGAGUGAUGAAGGUCUUAGGGUUGUAAAGUUCUUUUACCCGGGAUGAUAAUGACGGUACCGGGAGAAGAAGCUCCGGCUAACUCCGUG